CACAGGACAAAGAAAACCAAACAGUUCAGUUUAUUUUAGUGAAUCGGUUUGUCUGAACAUUUCAUGUUCAAAAGAAAAAAUGAUUCAGUGCAGCAAAAUAAUGAUUUAACUGCUGGAGAAAUGAAGUCAAACAGGUGUGGAGUGACACGAGUCAGACACUUUUGUUCAAAGUGACCUACAAAUGAAGAAUACGAUGAAGUGACUCAUCCUAAGACACCCCGACCAGCCCGACACAGCAACAUCAGAU
Molecule: long non-coding RNA, 247 nt
Organism: Labeo rohita (rohu)
Lineage: Eukaryota; Metazoa; Chordata; Actinopteri; Cypriniformes; Cyprinidae
Exons: 4
Source: RefSeq, a predicted model, not a curated record